GACGAACGCUGGCGGCGUGCCUAAUACAUGCAAGUAGAACGCUGAAGGAGGAGCUUGCUUCUCCGGAUGAGUUGCGAACGGGUGAGUAACGCGUAGGUAACCUGCCUGGUAGCGGGGGAUAACUAUUGGAAACGAUAGCUAAUACCGCAUAACAGUAGAUGUUGCAUGACAUUUGCUUAAAAGGUGCAAUUGCAUCACUACCAGAUGGACCUGCGUUGUAUUAGCUAGUUGGUGAGGUAACGGCUCACCAAGGCGACGAUACAUAGCCGACCUGAGAGGGUGAUCGGCCAAACUGGGACUGAGACACGGCCCAGACUCCUACGGGAGGCAGCAGUAGGGAAUCUUCGGCAAUGGACGGAAGUCUGACCGAGCAACGCCGCGUGAGUGAAGAAGGUUUUCGGAUCGUAAAGCUCUGUUGUAAGAGAAGAACGAGUGUGAGAGUGGAAAGUUCACACUGUGACGGUAUCUUACCAGAAAGGGACGGCUAACUACGUG
RNAcentral lists this ribosomal RNA (495 nucleotides) under uncultured bacterium. RNAcentral's name for it is "partial 16S ribosomal RNA". It matches the Rfam family "Bacterial small subunit ribosomal RNA", at positions 28 to 507 of the family's 1533-position model. The record is from RNAcentral.